UACAGAGGGGGCAAGCGUUGUUCGGAAUUACUGGGCGUAAAGGGCGCGUAGGCGGCCUGUUAAGUCGAACGUGAAAUCCCCGGGCUCAACCCGGGAACUGCGUCCGAUACUGGCAGGCUUGAAUCCGGGAGAGGGAUGCGGAAUUCCAGGUGUAGCGGUGAAAUGCGUAGAUAUUAGGAGGAACACCGGUGGCGAAGGCGGCUAUCUGGACGACAACUGACGCUGAGGCGCGAAAGCGUGGGGAUCAAACAGG
Molecule: ribosomal RNA, 253 nt
Filed under: uncultured bacterium
Lineage: Bacteria
Description: partial 16S ribosomal RNA
Rfam family: Bacterial small subunit ribosomal RNA
Source: RNAcentral